This 199-nucleotide non-coding RNA is filed under the name Oscillospiraceae bacterium. RNAcentral describes it as "6S RNA". It matches the Rfam family "6S / SsrS RNA". From Rfam's summary of the family: E. coli 6S RNA was the first non coding RNA to be sequenced, but its function was unknown until recently. It consists of 184 nucleotides that fold into an extended hairpin structure with a large single-stranded internal bulge. The 6S RNA specifically associates with RNA polymerase holoenzyme containing the sigma70 specificity factor. The record is from RNAcentral. Lineage: Bacteria; Bacillati; Bacillota; Clostridia; Eubacteriales; Oscillospiraceae.
GAAUCCCUGCCCUGCGCGUGAUGAGUCUUUUUAAACCCACAUUUAUAAUAAGGGACGCCGGAUACUCUCCUGGAGAAUUGCAGGCCUCCCGCUUGCAUUCUGCGAGCGGAUGUUGGAAGCAGCGGACCCCGGAGGAGGCAACCCACCUGCAAAUGGUGCAGGGUUAUAAAUGGACUUACACGGCAGCGGCGGGGACAGA